CUACGGAGGUGGAAGCUGUGUGUGAGCUGCGCCCCGCAGCCCGCUCUCCCGCUCCAUUCUUCCCGCAGCCCCCCCUGCUCCAACCAGGUGACUGGGGGCUCAGCGGACCCGCCCUGCCGCCCGGAAUGGAGCGGGUCCCCAUGGAGCCCAAACUCCCUGCUCCACCUCUCUUCCCGCUGCCGCCGCCAAGCCGCUCCGAGCCCGAGGGAGAUGGCAACCCCCAUCCUUGUGCACGCCGUUGGACAGACUCCGCGCCGGAGCCCCGUCUGCCCUGGGCUGCCAGAGGUCUCCACAUCCUCCUCCUCCCUACUCUACCUGAGCUUCUUCCUCAUCUGCGGGACCCUGUGCCAAGGAACCUACCCAAAUCCAGGCCUGCUCCCUGAAACAUUGGCAAGAAACUGGAAAAAGAGGCUAAUAUGGAGAGGGAAGAAGUUUGGCAAGAUCUUUGGAGAGAAAAAGGACAGAGCUGAGCAAAUCUGCCCGCCAAAAUAUCACCCCUUUUCCAUGCUCCAUUCACAACCACCAGCCCAUUUUUCCACAUGACAAUCCUCUGCAGUCCAGAAGCUUGAAAAUUACAAGCCCAAGAUUCAAGACACAUGUUUCUUGUCCAGAGUCCUGCCUGUCUAGAAACAAAGAUAAAUCAGACCUCAGAGAAUCCGUCAAGCACUAUAUCCACUGGGCCCCCUAACCAGACUAGAAGUGCCCCAGUACAUUCUGAAGGGACACCUAUCACCUAUGUCCCCUGUGUGAGGUGAGGUGAUUUUGGAUGGAGUGACAACGACCCAGUGUCAGCAACCCUUCAUCUCUGGGCGUGUCUAUGGGGUUCUGCCAAACUUACCUCCACUGCAUCUCAGACUGAAGGUUCAGGGAGCUGCAGAUGGGCUCUGCCUGUGCUCUGGCACCGUCUGGUGUCCAUGCGCUCUAACAUUAACUCUCAGCUCUUCCGCCAGUUCCCUCAGUAGCCCUCUGGGCUGCACUGGCCUUGGACACCUGCCAGCUUGAUUUUCUUCCUCCUCUCCCUCUCAGUGCACUGAAGUGCCCUAUAGACCAGGGUAUUUCUCAAAGUCUCCUAGAGCGCUCACCGCAACCCAAUACAGUAAAACUUGUUGGGUCCCCACCGUUGGGUCCUGAGAGCCCUCUUAUAUCAAUCCCCCUGCCUCAGUUCAUGAUACUGCCUUUAGGUCUGCUUCCUCCAAUAGAGGUAAGAUACAUGGGAAAAAAAGGCUCAAUGGACAGAAAAGAAGGAAGUUUAUGGAGAUGUCUUGAGAGAAAAUUCACAGUGAUUUGCAUAGCUGCCAACCAAAAUAUUACAACUUUUACAUGCUACAUUUAUGAAUAACAUCCCUUAUUUGUACAUGAUACACUCACAGAGGCCUUAGGCUUGAAACUACAAGCCCAAGAUUCAAGACAGAUGUUUCUGGGUCCUGAGUUGUGCCUCUCCUGAAACAAGGGAAGUCUGGCCCCAGAGAACCUAUCAAACUCUCUGGCCCUUGGGCCACAUGACCAGGCUGGAAAUACCCAUCAGAUUUUGAAGCCACAGGCAUGUCCCCACACUGAGGUGAGAAAAUUCUGGGCCAGAGAGUCAGAGGCACCCUGUAACCAAACCCUACAACUCUGGGCACAUCCUGAGUGUUCCACCAACUCAUCUUCAACCACAUCUCUAAGCUGGAGGUGUGUCCAGGAAGCUGCAGGUAUACGUUUCUGCUGCUCUGGCACCAUCUGGCGGCCAUCAGCUCUAACAUCAACUCUCAGCCCUUCAUUCUGUUUUCCCUCAGCUGUUCCCUGGGGCUGUUCUGGCUUUAGAUCUCUGCCAGCUUGAUGUUCUUUCUCUCAUCCUCUAAGCUUAAUGAAGUGCCCUACAGACUGGGCCGUUUCUCUUUCAAAGUCUCCCAGAGCACUCAUGCCAACCUACCCUAUCAAUACAUUAAAACCCUCUGCUUCC
Molecule: long non-coding RNA, 1942 nt
Filed under: Sus scrofa (pig)
Lineage: Eukaryota; Metazoa; Chordata; Mammalia; Artiodactyla; Suidae
Description: lncRNA (ENSSSCG00030021130.1)
Source: RNAcentral